GAUGAACGCUGGCGGCGUGCUUAACACAUGCAAGUCGAACGGAAAGGCUCCUGCUUGCAGGGGUACUCGAGUGGCGAACGGGUGAGUAACACGUGGGUGAUCUGCCCUGCACUUCGGGAUAAGCCUGGGAAACUGGGUCUAAUACCGGAUAGGACGAUGGUUUGGAUGCCAUUGUGGAAAGUUUUUCGGUGUGGGUUGAGCUCGCGGCCUAUCAGCUUGUUGGUGGGGUAAUGGCCUACCAAGGCGUCGACGGGUAGCCGGCCUGAGAGGGUGUACGGCCACAUUGGGACUGAGAUACGGCCCAGACGCCUACGGGAGGCAGCAGUGGGGAAUAUUGCACAAUGGGCGCAAGCCUGAUGCAGCGACGCCGCGUGGGGGAUGACGGCCUUCGGGUUGUAAACUCCUUUCGCUAGGGACGAAGCGCAAGUGACGGUACCUGGAGAAGAAGCACCGGCUAACUACGUG
Molecule: ribosomal RNA, 465 nt
Filed under: uncultured bacterium
Lineage: Bacteria
Description: partial 16S ribosomal RNA
Rfam family: Bacterial small subunit ribosomal RNA
Source: RNAcentral